CGGGGUGCAGCAGGCGCGAAAACUUUACAAUGCCGGCAACGGCGAUAAGGGGACCUCGAGUGCCAGGUUACAAAUCUGGCUGUCGUGAUGCCUAAAAAGCAUUGCAUAGCAAGGGCCGGGCAAGACCGGUGCCAGCCGCCGCGGUAACACCGGCGGCUCGAGUGGUAACCGUUAUUAUUGGGUCUAAAGGGUCUGUAGCCGGCCGGAUAAGUCUCUUGGGAAAUCCAGCAGCUCAACUGUUGGGCUUUCAGGAGAUACUGUCUGGCUCGAGGCCGGGAGAGGUGCGAGGUACUUCAGGGGUAGGGGUGAAAUCUUGUAAUCCUUGAAGGACCACCAGUGGCGAAGGCGUCUCACCAGAACGGACCUGACGGCAAGGGACGAAAGCUAGGGGCACGAACCGGAUUAGAUACCCGGGUAGUCCUAGCCGUAAACGAUACUCGCUAGGUGUCGGCCACGGUGCGACCGUUGUCGGUGCCGUAGGGAAGCCGUGAAGCGAGCCACCUGGGAAGUACGGCCGCAAGGCUGAAACUUAAAGGAAUUGGCGGGGG
This 548-nucleotide ribosomal RNA is filed under the name uncultured archaeon. Its description in RNAcentral is "bacterial SSU rRNA". It matches the Rfam family "Archaeal small subunit ribosomal RNA", at positions 326 to 874 of the family's 1478-position model. The record is from RNAcentral.